AUUGAACGCUGGCGGCAGGCCUAACACAUGCAAGUCGAGCGGAUGAAGGGAGCUUGCUCCUGGAUUCAGCGGCGGACGGGUGAGUAAUGCCUAGGAAUCUGCCUGGUAGUGGGGGAUAACGUCCGGAAACGGGCGCUAAUACCGCAUACGUCCUGAGGGAGAAAGUGGGGGAUCUUCCGACCUCACGCUAUCAGAUGAGCCUAGGUCGGAUUAGCUAGUUGGUGGGGUAAAGGCCUACCAAGGCGACGAUCCGUAACUGGUCUGAGAGGAUGAUCAGUCACACUGGAACUGAGACACGGUCCAGACUCCUACGGGAGGCAGCAGUGGGGAAUAUUGGACAAUGGGCGAAAGCCUGAUCCAGCCAUGCCGCGUGCGUGAAGAAGGUCUUCGGAUUGUAAAGCACUUUAAGUUGGGAGGAAGGGCAGUAAGUUAAUACCUUGCUGUUUUGACGUUACCAACAGAAUAAGCACCGGCUAACUUCGUG
This 484-nucleotide ribosomal RNA is filed under the name uncultured bacterium. RNAcentral's name for it is "partial 16S ribosomal RNA". It matches the Rfam family "Bacterial small subunit ribosomal RNA", at positions 30 to 507 of the family's 1533-position model. The record is from RNAcentral.